Molecule: long non-coding RNA, 500 nt
Organism: Camponotus floridanus (Florida carpenter ant)
Lineage: Eukaryota; Metazoa; Arthropoda; Insecta; Hymenoptera; Formicidae
Exons: 3
Source: RefSeq, a predicted model, not a curated record
AAUUGGACCAGAAAAGGAUAUUCAUUUAUUAAUCGAUAUAUUUAUACUAAUCCACAGGGAAGAGUGGACUGCAAUAGAAUUUCUCAAUUGCCUACAAUCCAGUUUAAUUUGGGUGCGAGGCCUUGAAUCUUACCGGUAAAGAUUACAUCAUUCGGGGUCCACAUAAUAAAAAUCGAUGUUCAAGCGUCUUCUGGAAACAUAUGGACCCAAAAUAUAACGAUGAAAGUAAAUUUAUUAAGUCGUGGAUUCUGGGCACGUCAUUUAUAGGCCGCUACUACACCGAGUUUGACAUGGACAAAGAACGAGUGGGAUUUGCUUUGGCAAAAAAUUUAUAGAAUUCAUCAAAACCUAUAGAAAGUUUUUCAUUGCCUUCUUUUAUUGAAAACUUUAUCAAUUUUUAAUAAUUUGCUCAAUAUUCUGCAGCAAAAAAAAUUUAAUUAUUUUUAAUCACCAACUGAUAAAGUUUGCGUAUUAUCAAUGUGAAUUUUUGCGUAAUAUGU